RNAcentral lists this long non-coding RNA (208 nucleotides) under Elaeis guineensis (African oil palm). RNAcentral's name for it is "long non-coding RNA (EGUI_LNC082072)". The record is from RNAcentral. Lineage: Eukaryota; Viridiplantae; Streptophyta; Magnoliopsida; Arecales; Arecaceae.
CAUCAUCAACACCUUCAUUCUUCUUUGAAGGAAGAUCGUUAGAUUCAUCAAAGACAACAUGUAUUGACUCCUCUACUACUAAGGUUCUUUUGUUAAAAACUCUAAAAGCUUUACUAGUGGAGGAGUAACCAAGAAGGAUUGCUUCAUCUGAUUUUGCAUCAAAUUUUUCAAGUCUUUCUUUACCAUUAUUUAAUACAAAACAUCGGCA